UACGGAGGGUGCAAGCGUUAUCCGGAUUUACUGGGUUUAAAGGGUGCGCAGGCGGAUAUGUAAGUCAGUGGUGAAAUCUUCCCGCUUAACGGGAAAACUGCCAUUGAUACUAUAUAUCUUGAAUGCUGUGGAGGUAAGCAGAAUAUGUCAUGUAGCGGUGAAAUGCUUAGAGAUGACAUAGAAUACCCAUUGCGAAGGCAGCUUACUACGCAGAUAUUGACGCUCAUGCACGAAAGCGUGGGGAUCAAACAGG
This 253-nucleotide ribosomal RNA is filed under the name uncultured bacterium. RNAcentral describes it as "partial 16S ribosomal RNA". It matches the Rfam family "Bacterial small subunit ribosomal RNA", at positions 524 to 776 of the family's 1533-position model. The record is from RNAcentral.